RNAcentral lists this transfer RNA (73 nucleotides) under Candidatus Wallbacteria bacterium GWC2_49_35. Its description in RNAcentral is "tRNA-Glu". It matches the Rfam family "tRNA". From Rfam's summary of the family: Transfer RNA (tRNA) molecules are approximately 80 nucleotides in length. Their secondary structure includes four short double-helical elements and three loops (D, anti-codon, and T loops). Lineage: Bacteria; Candidatus Walliibacteriota. The record is from RNAcentral. RNAcentral also lists the same sequence under 1 other name.
GGCCCUAUCGUCUAGGGGCCCAGGACGAGUGGUUCUCAGCCAUUAAACCGGGGUUCGAAUCCCCGUAGGGCUA